This is a long non-coding RNA of Oreochromis niloticus (Nile tilapia), 1121 nucleotides long. RefSeq lists it as uncharacterized. The record is from RefSeq and is a predicted model, not a curated record. The transcript has 2 exons. NCBI's taxonomy places the organism in Eukaryota, Metazoa, Chordata, Actinopteri, Cichliformes, Cichlidae.
AUCUUGCUGGUGAUGGAUACUCGAAUAGGUUGCGCGUGAGACUCCAUUAUCAGCAACAUCUGGUAUGAAUGUGUGUGAAGGUAUGCAUGUGACUGGACUGUGAUAGACUGACGACUAAGAGUUUUGACUGACUCGAUACUGAGACAAAACGACACAGACUUUAGGAUUAGUAAAUGUGGAGCAACAAUUCACCCAGCCUGCAACAGAUGGGUGGAUACUUUGUUUUGUUUUGUUUUUGCAGGAGCAGGAGGAUAAGAGAGAGCAGAGGGGGAGACUGUAGCUUCACAUGAGAGUGUGGAACUGCAGACUUAACCCUUCGGUGGCUAAUUUUGAGUUACUGAUGUUUGCAUUAAGAAAAUUGUGUUGUAUUAGCUGUGUUUCGAUUAAAGGCAUUACAUUAUAUCCACCUUAAAAAUGUUGGGGAAUGUCAAAGGCUACAGUGAAGGAAAGGUUUUUUACUAAUGACUGAACAUGUUAUUAUUAACCAUAGCAGGCCACUGUAAAAAGUCAAUUAAGUUUUAUAGAGAAAAAGCCAAAACUUUAAUAAUAUGUAUGAAUAACAGGGAAAUGGAAAACUUCACAUUCAGAAUAGAGAUAUGUAAUAACAAACACUGGUCCAUGUGAUUUAGGUUCACCCUUGAAAUAGUCAGUAAUUUAAAAAGUAGAAUAUAACCGACAGGGGCAUGUGAUAGGAGGUGGUGCUGCAUAAGAACAAGAGCAAGCUAAAGAAAGAGAAAACUAUUGUGUUUAGUUUUGAUAAAUUCGAAUUAAAAUGUACCAUUACACUCAGAGGAUCAAUAUGAAAUCAAAAUAUAUGCAAAUUCUGUAUGAAGUACAUGACUGGUGACUGGAGAAAUAUUAUGAAAGGUGAGAAAGGUAAGCCCCGAUGGGGGUGAUAAAACCAUAGAUUUGAAUUGAAUUCUUAUAAUUUGACACCAAACAUAAAAUUUCUCAAAAACUGUGUUGUUGUUGUAAAUUUAGUUUGUGUUACAUCUGAUAUGUGCUAACAUAGAAGUCAUUAUACAUGGGCUCCACUCGUUAAAGGGGGACAGAGGGCCUUAGGACUAGGAAGAAGCAAUGGACCUCGCUAAAUUGGAUUAUGAGGUGUAGGUGAUCUCUUU